AGUCCUGGAAAUGAUCUUGAUGCUAUCUGUUCCUCGUUACAGCAGACCUGCUCAACUUCAGCAGCUAGAAGGAGGAUUGUCUUUCACCAGCUGCAGGAGCCUGUUCCCACUACAAGCCUGGUGGAGUCUUCGGAGCAGAUGUGACUGUCCUACUUGUAUAGAGAAGAGAAACUGAGGCUCAGAAGAGAUGCCUGGCUGAGUUUAAUAGGACUGCAACAACAAUUUUGCCUUUCUACUUUCUGGUACAGUGGUCUUUCCUUUGCCAUCAUGCCUCAGCAUAUCCAUGUUAGUAAAUUCUCCCAGUUGGGGAAAAGCUUGGCAGCAAUGAAAGUUAAUGUGAUGAAUCAUUUAGAUGGACAGAUUGGAAAAAUGUUGUUCCUUUUGCAUGUGAUGUUCUUGCCAGAAAUCAAGUAGGUGGAGUUUUUGAAGCGUGAUCAGUUAGAUAAGUAUGGUGGUUUUAAAUAAUCAAGCAUGGAGCCAUACCGGUUAUGUUUAAUUUAUAACAAAAUCAGACAAUUCAGGCAUGAUGUUGAACUCAUUGAGCUUGGCUCACUACUACAUUUCUCUCACCAAAAGCAAUGACUAUAAAGAGUUACAAAUACCAUGACCUUAUAUCAUAAAGCAUAAAUUAUUCCAGGAAGUUUUCCAUUUAAGUCAACUUCUCAAAAUCUUAGGAGAAAACUACCAAUAUUCAGUUCAAACCCCAGAGGCUUAAGGAAAAAUAUUAAUGUUGAAAUAGCAAGUAAGUGGUAGUAUCCUCGCUGUAUGCACAAUUGCAUCUGCUCGGGGGUUAGUCUUUCUUUAGCUCCUGUCUACAACUCACACCAGUCUCCAUAAAAGAAAUGAGGUCUCACUGAUACCAUCUAGCUUAAUGAGAUAAAAAUCCUGGUGAUCUCUGCAAGAAAAUAAAACUAAGAUAAACUAGUAUCUGCUACUGAUAAAUAUUUAACAGAUGUGGUCCAAAUCCCUCUGCCAGCUGGAGGAAGGAAAAAAGUUCUAUUUUACUGCUUGGAUAUAAUUAUUGGCCACAUUUCUCCAAGCAAAGACAGUGACAUUGGCUCACUCCCCAGGAGAACUUUCUUCUGAUCUUGGCACUAGGAUUUGCUUUUCUUUAACAGAUUGCAGCAAUAUACCCUUCAUUUGACCCAGUUUAUUCAUUCAAAAGAUACCUGGAGCCAAAACCAUGUAUGAGAAAUAGCAAAGGAAGAGGCAGGCACAAGCUGUGUUUAUAUACCCACCAAAGGACUACAGCAAAACACAUAUAUUCUAGUCAGCUCUGAGUGCACCUGUCUGUGUCAACAGUAGACCAGCGUGGUCUGGCAGAUGACCAUAUGACCCAGCUGAUUCACUCCGGAGUUAGAGGAACUUUUCCCAGACCCUGAAAGUCACCUUUUUAGACAACUUCGCAAACAGCCAUCCUUGUUCACGGUAUCAUGCCCCUUGUCACUGCUAAACAGACCGUUUGCAAAGAAAUUUCCUAAACAUCACCACUGAGGCUCCUUCCAGCAAUGACUCUGGUCCAUCAUUGGGAUUGCUGAGCAGCUGUUUCAUAACAUGAACAAGGAUGUUUUAACCAUGUUUCUUGACCUGGCCAUUUGGAUCCCAAGGAUGUUUUGGUCCAAGAAUAAAUUCCAGAGCUUAGCUCACCGAAGAAGACAGGAAAACUUGUCAGAUGGGGAAGGAUGUGUCAAGAGCAUGCACACAGAUUUACUCUUCAGCUAGAAGCUCCAAUUCCUAGAUGAUCUGAAUCCAACUCAGAGUGCUUGCACCUGUUUCCUGCCACACAGCUAGAGCUGUCCAGUGAGAGAGACAUGAUGGCCCAGCUUGAAAAAGAAAUUGAGGAUAGCAAGUGUAACAUACCAAGCAUUCCACGAGCAGUGUCCCUCUAGGUUCUCUGAUUGGCUGAAGCUACUCUAAGCCAAGAGAUCAAAGAAGCUGAUAAUGUAGAAUGUAAGUUUGUCUCCUGGGCCACAAUGGAAAGCAGAGACUGUAGCUGGAGGAGUGAAUAGAGGAUAUGCAGCUCUGGUAAUUCUCAGUACAAUUCCCAGUGGUCCACUCUGCAGAAUGAACCAAGUUCCAUUUUGCCCAACUUCUGGCAGUCCACAUUUGGACUGUGAGCUCACCUACAGAUAAAUCGUACGUGGAUUGAUGCAGUAACUGGAUUUGUAGCUGCUAAAUCUUAUUUAAGUGAGGACCUGUCCAGUACAUGUGAAGACCACCCAUCCACUGAAAGUGAUAAGUGAAGCUGAAUCAAUACUAGACUGAAUCAAUACUGAGCUGAAUCAAUACUUUCCCAAUUUUGAGGAAAUCUUGGAAAAUCUCUGAGAAAUGUGGUAGUAAUUAUUUUGAAGAAUUGGAAAACUUUAUAGCUGAUUAUGCUAUGUGUGGAAGAUACAACAGGAUUAUAAGAGAGAGAAGACAAUAUCCUUGCUGUGUCCAGAAGGCUUUAGCCGGGGUGUCCUACUGAGAGAUGACAAACUUAAGGUUUUUCUCUUCCCAGACAUUACUGGACAACUAGCUAUGUAAUUAGGUCUUAUGCCGAAAAGACUGAAAGGAAAACAUCUCAGAUCUAGGAAUGUGAUCAAGAAAGAAGGCUGGUUAAAGAAUAACAUGGGGAAAAUGAAUGCAGUGAAAUGGUUCACGCACAAGUUCUAGGAAUUCAGAGUGCAACAGCAGAAAUGCGAUUUUUGUUAGAUAUUUCAGAAAGUGAUGUGAGUCCCUGAGGUCAUACUGCAGCGUUCAGGUUCUGUUUGGCCUCCUGCACGAAGCUUUCCUUGAUUGGAAAAGCUGCAUACUCUGAAGCACAUCGCAUGUGUCCUGUCUGUAGUUCAUUUCAUUUCCCCAGAUUUGUUAUCAUCCACCAUCACUCAUACAAGCCUACCUUCUUCAUGCCAACCUUUGUAAUCUUUCUACCUUGCUAACCUGGUCAUGUCAAGGACCAGCUAAUAAAUAGCAAAGUUGUACCUUGAGCCAAGGUAUCUUGACUCUUAGUCCAGUGCUCUUUAUAUACCUCUGAAGUCUUAUUUGAGCUUCAAAAUUAUGAGUCUGUGCUCUCAAGAUUUUUUUGAAAAUGUACUUAAUGUUGCCCCUAAGCUUUUAUGAGAAAUAAUAAAGUUCUUUCCAGAUUGAAUAUCUAAUAACUCCAUUUCAUUUUAUGCUUUCUCAUGUAUGGAUGUCUAUAACUGGAAUGCUAUUUGGGCUACUGAGAUAUUUUCUUAAUUCUCUGUUUUGUGUUAGUUCUUUUUGUUUGUUUAUUUGACAACCAUAUUUUUGCACCUGAGAUAAAUCUGGCAUUCUAUUCAACUUCAAUUUCAAAGAGAAUCUGAGAAUGUACUGGUAGAACGAUAUUUGAAUACUAAUAUCUUGGAAAUACAGAAAUAAGUAUCAUACAUUUUGUUACAUUCUGUUUGUGUACAAAUAAUAUAAAAAUCAAUGAAUGAGAAUUUCAUAUUUGAAUUGUAUAUGGAUUGAUGCAAUAACUUGAUUUAGACAAUACUUUUUAUGAAGA
RNAcentral lists this long non-coding RNA (3508 nucleotides) under Homo sapiens (human). RNAcentral describes it as "non-protein coding lnc-NTSR2-5:13". The record is from RNAcentral. Lineage: Eukaryota; Metazoa; Chordata; Mammalia; Primates; Hominidae.